AAGACUCAACGUAGUUCCGUCAUGUUUACGAAUAACCUUUAACAGAAAACAUUAAAUCGUAAUUUAGGAAAUGCGAACUUGUGAUAGUGAACUGUUAAUUACAAUAACUGUUCUAAUUAAAUAAUUAAUACUAAAAAUCCCCAGUCUAACGGUAAUAUAAUCAUAAUUUCUAAUAUUAAAAACGGUAAAAUCAAUACCCAAUAGAAAAAGUUGUAGACAAAUAUGAUAAAUACCAG
Molecule: long non-coding RNA, 236 nt
Filed under: Citrus sinensis (sweet orange)
Lineage: Eukaryota; Viridiplantae; Streptophyta; Magnoliopsida; Sapindales; Rutaceae
Description: long non-coding RNA (CSIN_LNC001584)
Source: RNAcentral